RNAcentral lists this ribosomal RNA (253 nucleotides) under uncultured bacterium. RNAcentral describes it as "partial 16S ribosomal RNA". It matches the Rfam family "Bacterial small subunit ribosomal RNA", at positions 524 to 776 of the family's 1533-position model. The record is from RNAcentral.
UACGGAGGGUGCAAGCGUUAUCCGGAUUCACUGGGUUUAAAGGGCGCGCAGGCGGAUUGGUAAGUCAGUGGUGAAAGGCUUAAGCUUAACUUGGGAACUGCCAUUGAUACUAUCAGUCUUGAAUGUUGUUGAGGUUUGCGGAAUGGGUCAUGUAGCGGUGAAAUGCAUAGAUAUGACACAGAACACCGAUUGCGAAGGCAGCUCACUGGGCAAUGAUUGACGCUGAGGCACGAAAGCGUGGGGAGCAAACAGG